This 498-nucleotide ribosomal RNA is filed under the name uncultured bacterium. RNAcentral's name for it is "partial 16S ribosomal RNA". It matches the Rfam family "Bacterial small subunit ribosomal RNA", at positions 29 to 523 of the family's 1533-position model. The record is from RNAcentral.
AUUGAACGCUGGCGGAAUGCUUUACACAUGCAAGUCGAACGGCAGCACGGGGCAACCUGGUGGCGAGUGGCGAACGGGUGAGUAAUACAUCGGAACGUGCCCAGUCGCGGGGGAUAACGUAGCGAAAGCUACGCUAAUACCGCAUACGAUCUACGGAUGAAAGCGGGGGAUCGCAAGACCUCGCGCGAUUGGAGCGGCCGAUGGCAGAUUAGGUAGUUGGUGGGGUAAAGGCCCACCAAGCCGACGAUCUGUAGCUGGUCUGAGAGGACGACCAGCCACACUGGGACUGAGACACGGCCCAGACUCCUACGGGAGGCAGCAGUGGGGAAUUUUGGACAAUGGGCGAAAGCCUGAUCCAGCCAUGCCGCGUGUCUGAAGAAGGCCUUCGGGUUGUAAAGGACUUUUGUCAGGGAGGAAAUCCCUAGUGCUAAUAACACUGGGGGAUGACAGUACCUGAAGAAUAAGCACCGGCUAACUACGUGCCAGCCGCCGCCGUAA